GAUGAACGCUGGCGGCGUGCCUAAUACAUGCAAGUCGAGCGAAUGGAUUAAGAGCUUGCUCUUAUGAAGUUAGCGGCGGACGGGUGAGUAACACGUGGGUAACCUGCCCAUAAGACUGGGAUAACUCCGGGAAACCGGGGCUAAUACCGGAUAACAUUUUGAACCGCAUGGUUCGAAAUUGAAAGGCGGCUUCGGCUGUCCCUUCUGGAUGGACCCGCGUCGCAUUAGCUAGUGGGUGAGGUAACGGCUCACCAAGGCAACGAUGCGUAGCCGACCUGAGAGGGUCAUCGGCCACACUGGGACUGAGACACGGCCCAGACUCCUACGGGAGGCAGCAGUAGGGAAUCUUCCGCAAUGGACGAAAGUCUGACGGAGCAACGCCGCGUGAGUGAUGAAGGCUUUCGGGUCGUAAAACUCUGUUGUUAGGGAAGAACAAGUGCUAGUUGAAUAAGCUGGCACCUUGACGGUACCUAACCAGAAAGCCACGGCUAACUACGUGCCAGCAGCCGCCGUAA
RNAcentral lists this ribosomal RNA (515 nucleotides) under uncultured bacterium. RNAcentral's name for it is "partial 16S ribosomal RNA". It matches the Rfam family "Bacterial small subunit ribosomal RNA", at positions 28 to 523 of the family's 1533-position model. The record is from RNAcentral.